RNAcentral lists this ribosomal RNA (433 nucleotides) under uncultured bacterium. RNAcentral describes it as "partial 16S ribosomal RNA". It matches the Rfam family "Bacterial small subunit ribosomal RNA", at positions 29 to 507 of the family's 1533-position model. The record is from RNAcentral.
AACGAACGCUGGCGGCAGGCUUAACACAUGCAAGUCGAGCGAGACCUUCGGGUCUAGCGGCGGACGGGUGAGUAACGCGUGGGAACGUGCCCUUCUCUACGGAAUAGCCCCAGGAAACUGGGAGUAAUACCGUAUACGCCCUUUGGGGGAAAGAUUUAUCGGAGAAGGAUCGGCCCGCGUUGGAUUAGGUAGUUGGUGGGGUAAUGGCCCACCAAGCCGACGAUCCAUAGCUGGUUUGAGAGGAUGAUCAGCCACACUGGGACUGAGACACGGCCCAGACUCCUACGGGAGGCAGCAGUGGGGAAUCUUAGACAAUGGGGGCAACCCUGAUCUAGCCAUGCCGCGUGAGUGAUGAAGGCCUUAGGGUUGUAAAGCUCUUUCAGCUGGGAAGAUAAUGACGGUACCAGCAGAAGAAGCCCCGGCUAACUCCGUG